AGAGUUUGAUCCUGGCUCAGGACGAACGCUGGCGGCGUGCUUAACACAUGCAAGUCGAGCGAUGAAGUUUUCUUCGGGAAACGGAUUAGCGGCGGACGGGUGAGUAACACGUGGGUAACCUGCCUCAUAGAGUGGAAUAGCCUUCCGAAAGGAAGAUUAAUACCGCAUAACGUUGAAAGAUGGCAUCAUCAUUCAACCAAAGGAGCAAUCCGCUAUGAGAUGGACCCGCGGCGCAUUAGCUAGUUGGUGGGGUAACGGCCUACCAAGGCGACGAUGCGUAGCCGACCUGAGAGGGUGAUCGGCCACAUUGGGACUGAGACACGGCCCAUACUCCUACGGGAGGCAGCAGUGGGGAAUAUUGCACAAUGGGGGAAACCCUGAUGCAGCAACGCCGCGUGAGUGAUGAAGGUUUUCGGAUCGUAAAGCUCUGUCUUUGGGGAAGAUAAUGACGGUACCCAAGGAGGAAGCCACGGCUAACUACGUGCCAGCAGCCGCGGUAAUACGUAGGUGGCAAGCGUUAUCCGGAUUUAUUGGGCGUAAAGCGAGCGCAGGCGGUUUUUUAAGUCUGAUGUGAAAGCCCUCGGCUUAACCGAGGAAGUGCAUCGGAAACUGGGAAACUUGAGUGCAGAAAAGGACAGUGGAACUCCAUGUGUAGCGGUGAAAUGCGUAGAUAUAUGGAAGAACACCAGUGGCGAAGGCGGCUGUCUGGUCUGUAACUGACGCUGAGGCUCGAAAGCGUGGGGAGCAAACAGGAUUAGAUACCCUGGUAGUCCACGCCGUAAACGAUGAGUGCUAAGUGUUGGAGGGUUUCCGCCCUUCAGUGCCGCAGCUAACGCAUUAAGCAUUCCGCCUGGGGAGUACGACCGCAAGGUUGAAACUCAAAGGAAUUGACGGGGGCCCGCACAAGCGGUGGAGCAUGUGGUUUAAUUCGAUGCAACGCGAAGAACCUUACCUGGGCUUGACAUGUUCCCGACGAUCCCAGAGAUGGGGUUUCCCUUCGGGGCGGGUUCACAGGUGGUGCAUGGUCGUCGUCAGCUCGUGCCGGGAGAUGUUGGGUUAAGUCCCGCAACGAGCGCAACCCUCGUUCCAUGUUGCCAGCGGGUUAUGCCGGGGACUCAUGGGAGACUGCCGGGGUCAACUCGGAGGAAGGUGGGGAUGACGUCAAAUCAUCAUGCCCCUUAUGUCUUGGGCUUCACGCAUGCUACAAUGGCCGGUACAAUGGGUUGCGAUACUGUGAGGUGGAGCUAAUCCCUAAAAGCCGGUCUCAGUUCGGAUUGGGGUCUGCAACUCGACCCCAUGAAGUCGGAGUCGCUAGUAAUCGCAGAUCAGCAACGCUGCGGUGAAUACGUUCCCGGGCCUUGCACUCACCGCCCGUCA
This 1377-nucleotide ribosomal RNA is filed under the name human gut metagenome. RNAcentral's name for it is "bacterial SSU rRNA". It matches the Rfam family "Bacterial small subunit ribosomal RNA". The record is from RNAcentral.